UACACUCCUGCGGGAGGCAGCAGUGGGGAAUAUUGCACAAUGGGCGCAAGCCUGAUGCAGCCAUGCCGCGUGUAUGAAGAAGGCCUUCGGGUUGUAAAGUACUUUCAGCGGGGAGGAAGGCGAUAAGGUUAAUAACCUUGUCGAUUGACGUUACCCGCAGAAGAAGCACCGGCUAACUCCGUGCCAGCAGCCGCGGUAAUACGGAGGGUGCAAGCGUUAAUCGGAAUUACUGGGCGUAAAGCGCACGCAGGCGGUCUGUCAAGUCGGAUGUGAAAUCCCCGGGCUCAACCUGGGAACUGCAUUCGAAACUGGCAGGCUAGAGUCUUGUAGAGGGGGGUAGAAUUCCAGGUGUAGCGGUGAAAUGCGUAGAGAUCUGGAGGAAUACCGGUGGCGAAGGCGGCCCCCUGGACAAAGACUGACGCUCAGGUGCGAAAGCGUGGGGAGCAAACAGGAUUAGAUACCCCAGUAGUCCCAU
This 475-nucleotide ribosomal RNA is filed under the name uncultured organism. RNAcentral describes it as "partial 16S ribosomal RNA". It matches the Rfam family "Bacterial small subunit ribosomal RNA", at positions 332 to 798 of the family's 1533-position model. The record is from RNAcentral.